RNAcentral lists this unclassified non-coding RNA (381 nucleotides) under Hevea brasiliensis (rubber tree). Lineage: Eukaryota; Viridiplantae; Streptophyta; Magnoliopsida; Malpighiales; Euphorbiaceae. The record is from RNAcentral.
AAAAUAUUUCAGUAAUUUAAAAUAAAAAAAAUUAAUGAGAUUUAUCUUUUAUUUUAAAUUAAAAUUAAAAUAAAUAUAGAAUAAAAAAAAUUAAUGGUAAUGGAAAUUACUAUUAUAAAACCUUAAAGAGUAGUAUUGGGACUAGAGAAAAAAACUAAGAGCGUGGCAUUGUUAGGGAAAUGGUACCAACAAUUUUCCAUUUCAUUGUUACAGUAUAAAUAAAUAAAGGAAUUUAAAGUUAUUUUAAUAAAAAUAAUAAUAAUUAGUAUAAAUUUAAAAAUGAAAAAGAAAAAUAAAAUAAUAUAGCUAGAGUUACUGUUUUAAAAUAAUAAUAUUUAGCAUAAAUAUAAUACUUAAAUAGUUAAAUAAGUUAAAUAAGUU